CUUUGUCUGCCAAGAUCUUAAGUUACAUCAAGAAAAGGUUGCAGUACUUACAUAUAAAGUUGUCAGUGCCUUAGUAUGUAGUAAUGUUUCUUUUUUUGUCAGACAUGCUUCAAAAUUUGUUAGGUCGACAGAAUCAGCUUGUUAAAAUUUUUACAUCAGCUGCAAGCAAUGCUACUUUGAGAACAAUUUGUCUGUAUAUCUUUGAAUUGGAUCAUGUAAUUGCAAUGGUUUCUGAUUUGUCAUAUAUUUUAGUGGCGAAUUUUAGUUUUGAGGCUAUUACACUAUUUCCGUUCCUCAUUCUUUGGUAUUUCUGGGUUUGUUUGUGCAGAUUCUAGUAUAAUGUUCUAUUAUUUCCAGGAUACAAUGUCAUAAUACUUUAUUACUCGUGGUUUUCUGGAUAGUGUUAUCUUUAUGGCAUGCUCCUUACGAAAAGCUAUCACAGUUUGCUCUGUCUUCCGAAAAAGCUAUUCUUCCAUUGUUGUUGUCGCUUCAAAUGCCAUCAGAUUGACCUACAAUAGCACAUAUGUGCCCCAAUAUUUGGGAACAGAGUUCUCAAUUUCAUAUGAAAACUAUAAACCAGGAGGUGUGAUGUUUUCUCGACAGUUCGGUUCCAGUAGAGAGUCAGAGACAUUAUCUUGGGGAGUGUCAUCUGACGUUGUUUUGCUGGGAAAGCUUGAAAGUGCAUUGAGGAAUCACAACUUGGAAGAGGCUUGGGAAACCUACAAAGAUUUCAAACGUCUUUACGGUUUUCCUAACCCCUUUCUUGUAGAUAAGCUUCUCACUGAGUUGUCAUACUCAUCUGAUUCUAGAUGGCUUAAAAGGGCAUGCAAUAUGGUAGGAUCUAUUUUGAAAGAGAAAAGGGAGAUGCUACGCACAGAGUUAAUGACCAAGCUCUGCCUAUCGUUGGCUAGAGCUCAAAUGCCCGUUCAAGCAUCAUCAAUUCUCAGACUGAUGUUGGACAAAGGAAAUCUCCCACCUAUUGACAUGCUAGGGAUGAUAAUGUUUCACAUGGUGAAGACUGAUACUGGAAUGAUUGUGUCAUCAAACAUUUUGAUUGAGGUAUAUGGUAGCUCUCAACAAUUAACCACAAAGAAAUCCACUUGCACUGAGUUAAAUAAACAUAAUACACUUCUUUUUAAUCUUGUUCUUGAUGCUUGUGCAAGAUUUGGAUCAUCCAGUAAAGGCCAUCAGAUUAUUGAGUUAAUGGCCCAAGUUGGAGUGACAGCUGAUGCUCAUACUAUUUCAAUUAUUUCCUUGAUCCAUGAGAUGAAUGGUCUGCGGGAUGAAUUAAAGAAAUUUAAGAAGCAUAUAGAUCAGGUUUCAGUUCCAUUGGUUUCCUGCUAUCAGCAAUUCUAUGAAAGUCUCUUGUGUUUACAUUUCAAGUUUAAUGAUAUUAAUGCUGCUUCUGAUCUUGUACAAGAUAUUUACGGAUUUCAAGUGUCACAUCACGAGCAGGGAAAUGUAACACAACCACCUAAACCGUGCCUUGUUGCUAUUGGCUCUGAUAAUCUGAGAACGGGAUUGAAGUUACGAAUUUUUCCUCAUUCAUUAUCAAGGGAUUCUGUUUUCAAUGUGGGACGUAAUCAGGUGCUUGUUAUGUAUAAGAAUGGGAAACUUGUCCUUAGCAACAGAGCAUUGGCCAAGCUUAUUAUACAGUACAAGAGGAGUGGGAGAAUUAAUGAUCUGUCAAAGCUUCUCUGUAGUAUCCAGAAGAAGGGCUCAGUUGAAUCUAGCAGAAUGUGUUCUGAUGUGGUUGCUGCUUGCAUUUGCAUGGGUUGGCUUGAAAUUGCUCAUGAUAUUUUGGAUGAUUUGGAUUCUGAAGGAAAUCCGCUGGACGCUAGUUCAUACGUGUCUCUGUUGACUGCAUAUUGCAACAAUAAUAAGCUAAGGGAGGCAGAGGCACUACUAAAGCAAUUAAGAAAAUCAGGUGUCAUAAAUGCAUCUGAUCCAUUGUUAGCUCCUGCAUCUAUGUGUGAACUGGAAACUGAAAGCAAGAAUAAGCUGAAAGAAUUAGGCUCUUUGGCGAAAGGGGAGCUGGCUUACCAUAUUGUUGAAGAAAUGAGAGCUGAAGAAAAUGAAGCUUCUUUUAUGAUGCAUGAUUUAAAUUUUUCUAUCUACUUUUUUAUGAAGGCUCACAUGGUUGAAGAUGCCGUUAGGGCUUACCGAAAAAUGCAGGCAAUGAAGAUCCAUCCUACAGUGUCAACUUUCAUGAAUCUGCUUAACGGGUAUUCUUCUUUAGGGAUGUAUCGUGAAAUUACAAUCUUGUGGGGAGAUAUUAAAAGGAACAUGGAAAGUCGUAAGAACUUGAAUACCAGGGAUUUAUACGAGUUCUUGCUGUUGAAUUUUCUUCGAGGCGGUUAUUUUCAUAGGGUGAUGGAGGUUAUUGGUUUAAUGAAAGAAAAUGGCAUGUAUUUGGACAAGUGGAUGUAUAGACGUGAGUUCUUGAAAUAUCACAAGGGUCUUUACCUAAGAAUAAAAGUAUCUGAUGCUAAAAAUGAUGUACAAACUCAGAGGAUUGAGCAUGUGAGGCACUUUAGGAAGUGGGUUGGCCUGGAUUAAUUCUUUUAGGUAUCAAGAAAUAUUCUUCUUGCACGCUGGGGAAAGAGUCAAGACAAUAUUGAGCCAUCCUUUGCCAAAUUUUGACAGGCUUCUCUCCAUUUUUGUCUACCUGAGAUGUGCAGUACAUCUGGGGUGGGGGGUCAUUGUUUCAUUGUAAAUUAUGUAUUUCACUCAAAGACAAAAAGUUCCAGGAAAGGACGUCUUUCUCUUCAGUUGUUCCAUUGGGUAUUGUAUCUAAUAGGCCAGUGCUCUUUAGCUUGUGUGGCAGAUUGUUGAAUUUGUGACUUUUGCAUCCACUCAGUGUUUGAUUUGUCAAGAAUAUUGAAGUUGGAAAUUAUAACAUUUAAAGGAUUAGGAAACUGUGUUCUGAUUGGCACUCCAGAUGUGAUUUUAUGCUCCUUGUCAGUCUUGAGUAGCUCUUUGGGUCGGAAUUGAUACUCCGACAUGCGUGGAUAUUGAAAAUUAUUCAUGGCUCCAGUGUCUACUCCAAGCCUGUAGCUUUCUGUCAUGGAAUUGAAAAAAGUUGCUAAGGAGAUAUUGGACCACUAGGUAUGUUUAGCCAGAACUGGCUCUAUCUGUACAUUCUCAUCGCUAUGUUAAGAUAUUUGUACGUUUUUAGCUAAUAUUCAGUUCUCCUAGUUCUUUAUUUUCAAAGAAAGUUUCCGUAUA
Solanum verrucosum is the source of this 3228-nucleotide RNA transcript. It is a transcript of the gene named pentatricopeptide repeat-containing protein At4g17616, with no coding region annotated. The transcript has 2 exons. Lineage: Eukaryota; Viridiplantae; Streptophyta; Magnoliopsida; Solanales; Solanaceae. The record is from RefSeq and is a predicted model, not a curated record.